RNAcentral lists this long non-coding RNA (304 nucleotides) under Gossypium raimondii (Peruvian cotton). RNAcentral's name for it is "long non-coding RNA (GRAI_LNC002116)". The record is from RNAcentral. Lineage: Eukaryota; Viridiplantae; Streptophyta; Magnoliopsida; Malvales; Malvaceae.
UUGUAUUUAGUUUACUAUUGUAUUGGAUUUAAAAAAAGAGAGAAGAAAUUCGGAAAAAAUUCAAAAAAAUCGAAAAAAAGGAAAAAAAGAAGUGACAAAAAAAAUCGAGUUAAAAAAAAAGAAGAAAGAAAAAAAAGUGAAAAGUCUUGCGAGUUUUUAUCAUUAUCACUUAUUACUCCGAUCAUCAAGUUUCCCUUCCUACCAUUAUUUACCCAUCCCAACGCCACAUUUUAAACCAAUUUUCUUCUUUGUUCAACCUACCCUACACCCGACAUUAUCCCUUGUAACCCAUUUUGAAACCGAC